AUUUAAAUAGCUUAUAAUUAGAGUUUAAUAUUGAAGAUAUUAAGGAGAUUAUUUAAAUCUUUAAAUA
This 67-nucleotide transfer RNA is filed under the name Parapoynx crisonalis. RNAcentral's name for it is "tRNA-Phe". The record is from RNAcentral. Lineage: Eukaryota; Metazoa; Arthropoda; Insecta; Lepidoptera; Crambidae.